AUGGCGGCCGCCACCAAUACCAAGCAGAAGCGGCAGCAUCCGGCACCGGUCGUGGACCCCAAGUUCGAAUGGGCGGACAAGGCCGGCACCUACGUGCUCCGCCUCAGCCUCGAGGGGUUCAAGAAGGGCGACUUCAGGGUGCAGGUGGACGGCGCCGGCAGGCUCACCGUGAGCGGGGCGAGGCCGGGGGCCACCCCGGGUUCCUUGCACAAGGUCUUCCAGCUCCCCUCCACCGCCAGCUUCGACGACAUCACCGGCCGCUUCGAGGCCGGCGUGCUCACGCUCACCGUGCCCAAGCGCCCCUACUCUGGUGUCCCGGCGCCGACUAGCGUCGUCGAGGAGAUUAAGAGGGAUAAACCUGGUGUGGUUAAGGAGGAUGGUGCCGCCGCCACCACAGUCAGGCCUCCGCCAACCAAAGACGUCGCCGGCAGCGAGAAGAAGGCGGCCAGCGGCGACGACAGCACCACCAAGCCUAAGGAAGAGAUCGCCAAGGAGGAGGAUGUGUCCAAGAAGGCCAUGGACGAGGCCACGAAGAAUGCUCAACAUCAGAAGCAACCGGAGGAGGCAAGCAACCACAAGCAAGAGCAGCAAAAGCUAGCACCAGAACCAGAGGCGAAGAAGGAGCGAGAAGUGAAGCCUGAGGCUCCCCAGGCGGCAGCUCCGCCGGCACCCGAGAAGCCGGCACCGGAGCCAGAGGUUACCAUCGGCGAGAAGAACAAAGCGGUGGUUGACCAGGAGAGCCUGGCGGCGGGCGUGAUACGGCGCAGCGAGGAAGAGAAAGCCAAGGCUGCGGCCGCUGCCAUGGAAGCCAAAGCGGUGCUGGAGAAGAAGGCCACGGCGUGCAGCGGCUGGAAGGAGCGCGUGGCAGGGGGGCUGGAGCAGCUGACGGACAUGAAGUGGGCGGAGAGCGUGGUGGAGAAGGCAAGGAACAACAAGGAGGUGGUCGCCAUCGCCGUCGCUGCUUUCUCGCUCGGCUUCUUCGUCUCUCAUAAGCUAUUCAGGAAGUGA
This 1008-nucleotide ribosomal RNA is filed under the name Triticum aestivum (bread wheat). Its description in RNAcentral is "partial small subunit ribosomal RNA". Lineage: Eukaryota; Viridiplantae; Streptophyta; Magnoliopsida; Poales; Poaceae. The record is from RNAcentral.